RNAcentral lists this ribosomal RNA (433 nucleotides) under uncultured bacterium. Its description in RNAcentral is "partial 16S ribosomal RNA". It matches the Rfam family "Bacterial small subunit ribosomal RNA", at positions 29 to 507 of the family's 1533-position model. The record is from RNAcentral.
AACGAACGCUGGCGGCAGGCUUAACACAUGCAAGUCGAGCGAGACCUUCGGGUCUAGCGGCGGACGGGUGAGUAACGCGUGGGAACGUGCCCUUCUCUACGGAAUAGCCCCGGGAAACUGGGAGUAAUACCGUAUACGCCCUUUGGGGGAAAGAUUUAUCGGAGAAGGAUCGGCCCGCGUUGGAUUAGGUAGUUGGUGGGGUAAUGGCCCACCAAGCCGACGAUCCAUAGCUGGUUUGAGAGGAUGAUCAGCCACACUGGGACUGAGACACGGCCCAGACUCCUACGGGAAGCAGCAGUGGGGAAUCUUAGACAAUGGGGGCAACCCUGAUCUAGCCAUGCCGCGUGAGUGAUGAAGGCCUUAGGGUUGUAAAGCUCUUUCAGCCGGGAAGAUAAUGACGGUACCAGCAGAAGAAGCCCCGGCUAACUCCGUG